This 928-nucleotide ribosomal RNA is filed under the name Staphylococcus aureus. RNAcentral describes it as "partial 23S ribosomal RNA". It matches the Rfam family "Bacterial large subunit ribosomal RNA", at positions 493 to 1429 of the family's 2925-position model. The record is from RNAcentral. Lineage: Bacteria; Bacillati; Bacillota; Bacilli; Caryophanales; Staphylococcaceae.
AACCAGUACCGUGAGGGAAAGGUGAAAAGCACCCCGGAAGGGGAGUGAAAUAGAACCUGAAACCGUGUGCUUACAAGUAGUCAGAGCCCGUUAAUGGGUGAUGGCGUGCCUUUUGUAGAAUGAACCGGCGAGUUACGAUUUGAUGCAAGGUUAAGCAGUAAAUGUGGAGCCGUAGCGAAAGCGAGUCUGAAUAGGGCGUUUAGUAUUUGGUCGUAGACCCGAAACCAGGUGAUCUACCCUUGGUCAGGUUGAAGUUCAGGUAACACUGAAUGGAGGACCGAACCGACUUACGUUGAAAAGUGAGCGGAUGAACUGAGGGUAGCGGAGAAAUUCCAAUCGAACCUGGAGAUAGCUGGUUCUCUCCGAAAUAGCUUUAGGGCUAGCCUCAAGUGAUGAUUAUUGGAGGUAGAGCACUGUUUGGACGAGGGGCCCCUCUCGGGUUACCGAAUUCAGACAAACUCCGAAUGCCAAUUAAUUUAACUUGGGAGUCAGAACAUGGGUGAUAAGGUCCGUGUUCGAAAGGGAAACAGCCCAGACCACCAGCUAAGGUCCCAAAAUAUAUGUUAAGUGGAAAAGGAUGUGGCGUUGCCCAGACAACUAGGAUGUUGGCUUAGAAGCAGCCAUCAUUUAAAGAGUGCGUAAUAGCUCACUAGUCGAGUGACACUGCGCCGAAAAUGUACCGGGGCUAAACAUAUUACCGAAGCUGUGGAUUGUCCUUUGGACAAUGGUAGGAGAGCGUUCUAAGGGCGUUGAAGCAUGAUCGUAAGGACAUGUGGAGCGCUUAGAAGUGAGAAUGCCGGUGUGAGUAGCGAAAGACGGGUGAGAAUCCCGUCCACCGAUUGACUAAGGUUUCCAGAGGAAGGCUCGUCCGCUCUGGGUUAGUCGGGUCCUAAGCUGAGGCCGACAGGCGUAGGCGAUGGAUAACAGG